Cyprinus carpio carpio is the source of this 760-nucleotide long non-coding RNA. Lineage: Eukaryota; Metazoa; Chordata; Actinopteri; Cypriniformes; Cyprinidae. The record is from Ensembl.
GGGCAGCAGCCUUGUUGAAGCGUUAGUAGCUCGUUUGUGCCACAGCUGAGCCACCUGCCUGAUCACCCGCUCCUGUUUGAGAGACCAAAGCUCGGUGACAAUCACAGCCUAUUCUUCAGCACAGCUCAUUUACAUUUACAAUUGAGGUUUAAUUAAUUAGUCUUGUUUGGUGUCUGAUUUUAUCCCUACUGUGUGAGAUUUAAGAAGGAAUGUGGUGUGAGGAGCAAAACGAUAGAAUUGAGUAGAGCAUGGAAGAGUACUGUGAUAAUGUAAAGAGUAUUGUGAUCAGACGUGAGGAGUAGUGUGAUCCUAGCAAGAAUUUGUCAGUAGAAGUAAGAGCCUGGUUACACCUCAAAUGAGGCGUGUUGUGAUGGUUCGAUUGGAGCAUGCUGGGUUCGUCUCAAGUGUUUAUGUGUGUUUCAAACAGCUCAAACACAUUUAGUCUUCAAUACACUACUCCAAGAUGUUCUAUUUGACUGUAUUUGGCUCAGUCCGUUCUCUUUUUUUUUUCUGUCUCCAAAUCCCACCAUCCCCUUUGUCUGAUAACGCUGACUUGUGAGGACAAAUGUGUGCGGUUCAUCAGCAGAGGUUGAGAUUUAACAAAUGAAAAAAAAAAACUGAUGAAUAAAAUCUCUAAACACGAACCAUGGCAGAAAAAAUCCAAUUAAAACUUCAUUUGAUGCUCCCAAAACCAGCAGGAAAAAAAGGAAUUUCAUUUAAAUAUUUCAGUGAUAACUGAGAGAGAAGUAUGAGAGAGGGG